Rana temporaria (common frog) is the source of this 395-nucleotide long non-coding RNA. RefSeq lists it as uncharacterized. The transcript is spliced from 3 exons. The record is from RefSeq and is a predicted model, not a curated record. Lineage: Eukaryota; Metazoa; Chordata; Amphibia; Anura; Ranidae.
AAUUGAAAAUGUUAUCUUUUCCAUUAUUGGAAACCUUGGCCACUUCAAGCAAGUUGAAGGCAGAACACUCCAAGCAUGAUGGAAUCCUUUCUCUUGUCCGGCAGCAUUCGUGGAUGCUGGCGAGAUGACCAUCAAGGCUGAAGUAUGGCAACACUGUGCUGUUUGAGAGUAAACGGAGAAACAAGUUGCAAUUGAAAAUGUUAUCUUUUCCAUUAUUGGAAGCCUUGGCCACUUCAAGCAAGUUGAAGGCAGAACACUCCAAGCAUGAUGGAAUCCUUUCUCUUGUCCGGCAGCAUUCGUGGAUGGUGGGUACCAAGAAAACAUAUUAGGAUGAUAGUCCAGUUUGGUUUGCUAGGUUUCACCAGAGUUAUGAGCUUUUAUUCUAACUCUUGGCU